GUCUUUCAUGUUACCCUUUGUCCC
Molecule: non-coding RNA, 24 nt
Filed under: Rattus norvegicus (Norway rat)
Lineage: Eukaryota; Metazoa; Chordata; Mammalia; Rodentia; Muridae
Source: RNAcentral